RNAcentral lists this long non-coding RNA (248 nucleotides) under Elaeis guineensis (African oil palm). RNAcentral's name for it is "long non-coding RNA (EGUI_LNC009802)". Lineage: Eukaryota; Viridiplantae; Streptophyta; Magnoliopsida; Arecales; Arecaceae. The record is from RNAcentral.
UUCACCGAACUCUGAUCCUUUGCACGAUCUGCCCAAUAAGGAGUGAAGCCAACUAUGUAGAUCUCCUCGCUACCGCAGUAUAUCUUAGCCUUAAAGCUAUCCGGAAGACUGCCACCGCCUCUCUUAUGGCUAAAGCUCUCGUCCUAUGUCUGGAUACUUCUCCUAUAGGUUCUGUCAUCAACGACUAUACCCACCACUGAUCUAGCAAUUGUUAUCGCUGUUGCCUCGACAACUCCACCAAUCACACC